AUUGAAUCCCUCAUAAGAAACUUCCUGUUACAGUAACUAAAUCCGAUCGAUUAGUGAAAGCAAUGGAGACCAAUAUGAUUUCGGCAAUAGUUUUUCUUUACCUUUGUAAUUUGAUUUUUCCAACAUCUGGUAAGUAAGACUAUCAUUUAAUUUAUGUCGUGUUCACAACAAAUGUAAAUGUUUUUUUGGAAAUCAAGACUUGUAUAUGCAUCACAAAUAUUCGUUUAUGAACAUUCAUUUUAACGGUAAUGUACUACACUUUCUCGAAGAGGAUAACCUUGGUUUGGAUUUGUAUGAAUAAGUUGAUCGCAAAACAUUAUGCACCAAUAUACAACCAUUCCUUUUGUUGAGAUAGCUAGAAAAGGCAUUGAGUAAUGCCACACACCAAGAAAAAAAAAAUUAUAUACUAUUUUUGAAUACAUUUGGCAGUUGUCUACACAUCAUUUGAUAAUCUAAAACAUAUCGUUUCACGUUUGAAAAACAUGUUAAAAUAUCUAAUACAAGUGUGGCAAAUACAAGAUUCCAAAAACGGAAAGCUAAAGCUUGAAUACUUUAAGUGGACCACUUAUCGUAAAUGAAAGGGGAGAUAAUACAUCUACAAAACUGCACACUUACCCUGGUAUAUGUUCUUGUUAAUGAUUCUAUAGCUACAAACUAAGCAUCUAGAAGAUAUCAUCUUAUACUAUCUAUAAGGAACGAAACUAUGCUUAUCGCUGACCUUUGUUUUAGAGGUUUACAAUAUUGAGCAGCAUUUUAGAUUCUGUAUUGAAGCAGUUUGUGGAAUUUUAACGACAAAACCGUGCGACCGAAACUUCAAAUACAAAUCGAAAAUAUGUUUGCAUAUUUCUAACUCUGUAAUUUUGGACUUGAUUUCAACCUUACUUUAGAUUUCUUAUGCUAUUUUUAGCUCAGGAGCCUUACACGCAUACAGUGUGUGAGUACACAUCGCCGACUAGAUACUAUUAUUGUCCAUUGUUAGAAGAAUGUUGUUACCUCAAUGGUAAAUGGAAAUGCAUAGACACAGUCUUCAGCGCUGUCCAUGGCGAUUAUGGAAAGCAACCGAGUUGUGAAAAGUAUUAAAUAUUUGUCCUAUAAAUUCUUGCCAUGAAACGAACUUUUCAUUAAGUUCUCACUUAUUUUUGUUCUUCCGUUAAUUUAUUUUCUUGUGCUGUUCUGCAACUAGACAUGCUAGUAUAUGAUAAGAUAUGAAUCAUCCGAUACAAUAGCGUUUUGGAAUCUUCUUUUAAAUCCAAUACUGUUUUUGAUAAAAGUUACCUUUCUCAACACAAAUUUUUAUACUUGAAGGGUCAAGUGAGCUAUUGUAAGCACUCUACGUUCCAAAAAUGUUCUCCUGAUUAUUUUUGGAACCCUUUCAAGUUAGAAAUUCCGACAGGAGUAAAAUGGUUGUGUUAAUAAAGAAUUUCAGACAACUUCUUCUUGGAGUAGUUGCCUUUGAAUAACAAAUUUGAUCAUUUCUAAAAGCAAACGUUAUUUUUGUUUUAAAUAUCUUGCAUUGGAUUAUGAAAUUACGACAUUACCAUCGAUUUUUGAUAUUUCAAAAGGAUGAAUAUGAUUUUGCAUGAUUUUGCCAUUUUUGAAGCAAUCAAAUCUUUCUAACACUCAUUUGAAUUUUAAUGUUGACAAUUUACAUUUUUUACAUAGUACAUAAUAUUUUAAUCUAGAUUUAAUUUGAUAAAGUUUAAGUUCAUCGCAUGUCAUAGUAAUACAAUUUUAAGACCAUCAAUGGCAACUACUACAUUUCACUUUUUGUUAAAUUUAUUUAACUUACUGUACUUUUUUUUUAACUGCAAUUCAAAUUUCAUAAUUUCAGAAAACCGACGCAGUCAAAAGACCCUUCGACGAUAAACACAUAUCCAACAGAUAACUCUGAUGAGACGA
Molecule: long non-coding RNA, 1899 nt
Filed under: Mytilus galloprovincialis (Mediterranean mussel)
Lineage: Eukaryota; Metazoa; Mollusca; Bivalvia; Mytilida; Mytilidae
Source: RNAcentral